RNAcentral lists this ribosomal RNA (768 nucleotides) under uncultured bacterium. RNAcentral's name for it is "bacterial SSU rRNA". It matches the Rfam family "Bacterial small subunit ribosomal RNA", at positions 116 to 876 of the family's 1533-position model. The record is from RNAcentral.
CGUAGGAAUCUACCUAGUAGAAGGGGAUAGCCCGGGGAACUCGGAUUAAUACCGUAUACCUCCUUUGGGAGAAAGAAGGCCUCUCUUUGAAGCUUUACGCUAUUAGAUGAGCCUGCGUAAGAUUAGCUUGUUGGUGAGGUAAAGGCUCACCAAGGCGACGAUCUUUAGCGGGUCUGAGAGGACGAUCCGCCACAUUGGGGACUGAGACACGGCCCAGACUCCUACGGGAGGCAGCAGUGGGGAAUAUUGGACAAUGGGCGCAAGCCUGAUCCAGCCAUACCGCGUGUGUGAAGAAGGCCCUAGGGUUGUAAAGCACUUUAAGUUGGGAAGAAAAGUUAUUGGUUAAUACCCAAUGACCGUGACAUUACCUUCAGAAUAAGGACCGGCUAAUUCCGUGCCAGCAGCCGCGGUAAUACGGAAGGUCCAAGCGUUAAUCGGAAUUACUGGGCGUAAAGCGCGCGUAGGUGGUUUAUUAAGUUGGAUGUGAAAUCCCCGGGCUCAACCUGGGAACUGCAUCCAAAACUGAUUCACUAGAGUACGAUAGAGGGAGGUAGAAUUCACAGUGUAGCGGUGGAAUGCGUAGAUAUUGUGAAGAAUACCAAUGGGCGAAAGGCAGCCUCCUGGAUCUGUACUGACACUGAGGUGCGAAAGCGUGGGUAGCGAACAGGAUUAGAUACCCUGGUAGUCCACGCCGUAAACGAUGUCAACUAGCUGUUGGAAAACUAUGUUUUUCAGUGGCGCAGCUAACGUAGUAAGUUGACCGCCUGG